Molecule: transfer RNA, 74 nt
Filed under: Gemmatimonadota bacterium
Lineage: Bacteria; Pseudomonadati; Gemmatimonadota
Also listed under: 1 other name
Description: Gemmatimonadetes bacterium (activated sludge metagenome) tRNA-Arg
Rfam family: tRNA
About the family: Transfer RNA (tRNA) molecules are approximately 80 nucleotides in length. Their secondary structure includes four short double-helical elements and three loops (D, anti-codon, and T loops). Further hydrogen bonds mediate the characteristic L-shaped molecular structure. tRNAs have two regions of fundamental functional importance: the anti-codon, which is responsible for specific mRNA codon recognition, and the 3' end, to which the tRNAs corresponding amino acid is attached (by aminoacyl-tRNA synthetases). tRNAs cope with the degeneracy of the genetic code in two manners: having more than one tRNA (with a specific anti-codon) for a particular amino acid; and 'wobble' base-pairing, i.e. permitting non-standard base-pairing at the 3rd anti-codon position.
Source: RNAcentral
GCCUCCGUAGCUCAGCUGGAUAGAGCACCGGUUUCCUAAACUGGGGGUCGCAGGUUCAAGUCCUGCCGGGGGCA